CUCUAGGUGUGCCUGCUCAAGCAGGGGGGUUGGACAAGAUCAUCUCCAGAGGUCCCUUCCAACCCCUGCCAUUCUGUGAUUCUGUGUGGACUCAAAGUCUCCAGCUUGUUAAAACAAAAGCGUGCCCAAAUGUGAAGGCUCGCGUGCACUAGCAGGCAGGACAAACUCAGAAGUGACUGGAGACACACCAGACACGUGGUCAUACUCUGAGGUCAGAGCCCUUUUGUCACCCAAUUGCUAAAAGGAAGCUCCUGUAAACAGAUACAGAUCAAGCAGAUACGGCUAAUGUCAGCUUCAGGUUAAACUGCAUGCACCUGUGGAUGGGAUCCAAGAUGCACCUAAGCUUUUAAUAAAUAAUUCUUACUGAUUAUAAUGGCCUGGCAGUUGGAGAAGCCCAGGAGGGAUGCAAGGAAGAACUGGAACUGCCAGCAGUUAGAUUUUAAUCCUGCCCCCUCUGGUCAUAGAACACUUAGUCCAGUGAGUGGAUGCUCAUAGGGUAGCUGCUGUUACUGGUGGGAUACUGGUGAUGGUGAUAAUGUUCAGGCUGGCUGUGCCAGAAAAGCAUUUUGGGAUGAGACGAAGCGUUGUGCUCAGCUAAGAGGUGGUCACUGCAGCAAUGGGAGAGAGGAAAGAGAAAACAAAUACACGUAUUCAGAUUAAAGUCGCAGUUGGGUUCCUCUCACACCUUUACAUUUAGCUGCUGCCAGCAAAUUUGCUGGUGCCACUCUCUCCUGAAGAGGCCGGUAGCUGAAGUCUCGGCUGGUCCCCAUGUACUCUCCUGCUCCCCAAAACUGCUGUGCCGUUAGUUGCUGCCCAGCUGCAAGGCUUGAGUACCAGCUGAUGUGACACCAAGCAUCGCCCAGACCUCAGCAGCAUCCCUGCUGAUCUCCUCCCCACCCUCCACACUGUCAGAGCCUCGCUGAGCAGAACUGUGUGUUACGGGGCCAAGAGAAAGAGCAAUUUCAUAGCACUUUUGCCUCAGAGAGGCAUACAGCUCCCUCUUUACACAGUCCGCUCAGAGUACUUGGACAUUUUAACCUGGAAGAGAACAAGAAAAAAAGGUGGAAUAUACAACAAUCUCUUUAAGAGGCAUCCAGGUACCUCAAGGAGGGCUGACAUAACACAGACCUGCUUGUGUACAGAGACUGAUCUUUGCUCCAGCAAGGAUGAGAGAUGGAGGAGCAUCUCAAGACACAACAUACCAGAAGUCCUAGAUUUGUUCUUAAGACAGACAACUUGCUGUUGUUGAAAAUAACCACCCCGGGGGAGCUAUUUUGAACUUGAGAGUGUGGCCACAAAAGCUGCCACUACAAACCAUCAUAUCCCACGGCGACCACUGUUCCUGAUGGAAUAGAGAAGCAAAGCAGAACCAAAUCUUGUGGUCUUCCAUACAAAAGCACUGUGGAAAAGGAAAAUUUGCCUCUCUUUUUUCCUUCCAAAGGUUGACAAGACCCUUGAUGCACUACUUAUAGAAGCUUUGAGUUCCUUUUAUGGAAAGUACUAGACAGAACAUGUAGGAAAGAUGUUAUUAUUCAAACUGAAAUUAAACACUAA
This is a non-coding RNA of Phalacrocorax carbo (great cormorant), 1554 nucleotides long. The record is from RefSeq and is a predicted model, not a curated record. Lineage: Eukaryota; Metazoa; Chordata; Aves; Suliformes; Phalacrocoracidae.